AUGUGGUUUAAUUCGAAGCAACGCGAAGAACCUUACCAGGUCUUGACAUCCGAUGCUAUUUCUAGAGAUAGAAAGUUACUUCGGUACAUCGGUGACAGGUGGUGCAUGGUUGUCGUCAGCUCGUGUCGUGAGAUGUUGGGUUAAGUCCCGCAACGAGCGCAACCCCUAUUGUUAGUUGCCAUCAUUCAGUUGGGCACUCUAGCGAGACUGCCGGUAAUAAACCGGAGGAAGGUGGGAUGACGUCAAAUCAUCAUGCCCCUUAUGACCUGGGCUACACACGUGCUACAAUGGUUGGUACAACGAGUUGCGAGUCGGUGACGGCGAGCUAAUCUCUUAAAGCCAAUCUCAGUUCGGAUUGUAGGCUGCAACUCGCCUACAUGAAGUCGGAAUCGCUAGUAAUCGCGGAUCAGCACGCCGCGGUGAAUACGUUCCCGGGCCUU
RNAcentral lists this ribosomal RNA (440 nucleotides) under uncultured Streptococcus sp. RNAcentral's name for it is "bacterial SSU rRNA". It matches the Rfam family "Bacterial small subunit ribosomal RNA", at positions 939 to 1382 of the family's 1533-position model. Lineage: Bacteria; Bacillati; Bacillota; Bacilli; Lactobacillales; Streptococcaceae. The record is from RNAcentral.